RNAcentral lists this ribosomal RNA (1002 nucleotides) under Meloidogyne arenaria. RNAcentral describes it as "SSU rRNA". It matches the Rfam family "Eukaryotic small subunit ribosomal RNA", at positions 792 to 1823 of the family's 1831-position model. Lineage: Eukaryota; Metazoa; Nematoda; Chromadorea; Rhabditida; Meloidogynidae. The record is from RNAcentral.
CGCUUGAAUGAUCGUGCAUGGAAUAAUAGAAACGAUUCGGUUCUGUUUAUUGGUUUUACGGACUGAGAUAAUGGUUAACAGAGACAAACGGGGGCAUUUGUAUGGCCCCGUGAGAGGUGAAAUUCUUGGACCGUGGCCAGACAAACUACAGCGAAAGCAUUUGCCAAGAAUGUCUUCAUUAAUCAAGAACGAAAGUCAGAGGUUCGAAGGCGAUCAGAUACCGCCCUAGUUCUGACCGUAAACGAUGCCAACUAGCGAUCCGCCGAUGGAAAUUAUAUUGCCUUGGUGGGGAGCUUCCCGGAAACGAAAGUCUUCCGGUUCCGGGGGAAGUAUGGUUGCAAAGCUGAAACUUAAAGGAAUUGACGGAAGGGCACCACCAGGAGUGGAGCCUGCGGCUUAAUUUGACUCAACACGGGGAAACUCACCCGGCCCGGACACUGUGAGGAUUGACAGAUUGAUAGCUUUUUCAUGAUUCAGUGGAUGGUGGUGCAUGGCCGUUCUUAGUUCGUGGAGUGAUUUGUCUGGUUUAUUCCGAUAACGAGCGAGACUCUAACCUACUAAAUAGCUGGUACAUACUCUUAGUGUAUACAGCUUCUUAGAGGGAUUUGCGGUGUUCAGCCGAAAUAAAUUGAGCAAUAACAGGUCUGUGAUGCCCUUAGAUGUCCGGGGCUGCACGCGCGCUACACUGGCAAAAUCAACGUGCUUGUCCUACCCCGAAAGGGGCGGGUAAACCAUUGAAAAUUUGCCGUGAUUGGGAUCGGAAAUUGCAAUUAUUUUCCGUGAACGAGGAAUUCCAAGUAAGUGCGAGUCAUCAGCUCGCGUUGAUUACGUCCCUGCCCUUUGUACACACCGCCCGUCGCUGCCCGGGACUGAGCCAUUUCGAGAAAUUUGGGGACCGUUGAUUUAAUUUUUCUAAAUUACUUUGAUGGAAACCAAUUUAAUCGCAGUGGCUUGAACCGGGCAAAAGUCGUAACAAGGUAGCUGUAGGUGAACCUGCUGCUG